GCCCCAGGGACUGACUGAUUUUCCCACAGGAAAUGUGCAUGAUUGCGUGUCUGUUUUGUGGGCUGGCCAUUUGGAUUGAGUGAAUGUCUGUGUUGUGAUUCCUUAUUGAUUCAAAGGUUGGAAAGGUUUGUGCUCAAUACAGGGGUCUCUUUGUGCGAUGGGAAAUGUGAUCGCAGCUGCCUUCAGGGUGGGGAGAGCCCUUGAGGCCCUCAGUGGUGGCCGGUGUCGGCCUUCGCUUUCCUGGGUGAGCUGUCCUCAGGGUGGGAAGGGAGGCCCUCGGUGGUGACCGCUGUUGGCCUUCACCUCCCUGGGUGAGUGCUGCUCCAUCCCCGGCUCUCUGACUCCUUGCCUGGCACCUUCCUCGUUGGAGGCCGUGAUCCAUGAACUUUUUCCACGCGUGUCCUGUAGACUAGUGCUGACUGCAGGUUCAGGAGUGGUCAGAGGAGGCCAGAGGAGGCCCUCGUGAUGCGAAGCUAAACGUUUAAUGAUGGCGCUGUUGAGUGCAUGAGCCGCGUCAGCCCAAGAGUCUGGGGCGAGGCUUGCUGCAGGGGCUACAGUGUCCAAGAAGCCCCAGGACCCACAGCCUGCAAGCUGGAGUCCUAGGAGGGUGUGGCUUGAAGACUUGAGAAGCGGAGGGUGCAGAUCCCAGACCGGUCUGAGGAGCUGAGACCCAGGAGCACGGGCUGCAGAAGACAGAUGUCACUGGCCCAUCAGCCAGACAGGUGGAGUGAACCCAGUUUUCCCCGCCUUGCUGUUUCACUCGGGCCCUGGGUGGAUAGGGUGGUGCCCCCCACACCGGCGAGGAUGGGUCUCCACUCAGUCCAGAGGCAAACAUGUAUCUCACACAGAAAUAAUGCAGAACCAGCCAUCUGGGCACCCUGGGCACGCUCAGGUUGAUGCACAAAACCAACUCCGCGCGUGGCCCUGACGUCUGCGUGUUCGCAUCACUCCAUGCACAUUACUCGGUCGUCGCCUUGUGCCCAAGAGGCUGAUGCCACAUAGAAGACCUGCAGGUCGGUGGAUGUGAAACAGGCAUCGGACACGCUGUGCACCUUGGGACGCAUCUGAGAAGUGCGUGCUGGCAGCAGGUCUGAGGUGAGGGCGUGUUCCAUCUCCUCUCCCUUCUCUGGCUUUGCAGGCCUUUGAAGUUGGUCCUGGAAAGUGAAAUUAGUUAAUGCUGAUUAGCUCCAGGUCAAAGCCGGGGGACCGAAGAGACCCGCCCUUCACUAGGGGUGUGAAGCAUUGGGCCCUCCCAUCAGGAGGCAGCAGGGACUCGAGAAAGCCCCACAUGCCCUCCAGUUCCCUUAUGUUGAAAUUGGUUGUACUCGGCCAUGCCGGGUCAUUUUGGGAGGUAAAUGGGGGUUUCACAUGGGGGUGUGCAGUACUGUUAGGUGUCAGGUGCGAGAGUUGAAUUUGUAGAAGCUGUGCGGAUAGGAAAGGGCCUGGCAGGGAGUGCUGUUUACAGGGAGCAGAUUUAACGUGAGGUCUGUGCUCUGCCUGGGUCCGUGUCUGACCGGUGUCUCCCAGUCUGCAACAGGACGUUCACGUGACUCGGCGCCAUCGUCCCACUCUGUGUAGACGUCUGAGGAUCUGUGCGCGGCUGCUCUGUUAGAGCGAGUUGUGAUAAUGAACUGAGAAACAGUGAACAAACCCUGAAUUGGUUAGCACUGGUUCCACGGCCACUUCUGCCGUGGUUGGAGUCAUUCAUAAUAAAAUGUGCUGGACUCCUAUGCAGAGCUCUGAAUUUCAGAGGCCCUUUAACUUGGCAGCUAACCAGCCGCUUCCUUCAGAAGACAUUUGAGUCCCCUUUACCUACCAGGGUGACUCUGGGAGUUUGAAGAUGAGUGAGACAAGCCCUCCAUGUCUUGUGGAUUUUACUGUCCAGAGGGGAGACAGAUGUGGAUGGUGAAGAAGUCCCUAUCAGAGGUCAGCGCAUGUCAGUUUUGUUUCUUCAGCACUUGCUAUGUUCAGGCGGUGCCCCGGGCCACGUGCAGAGCAUCUGGGGACCCUGCCCAUGGCAUCCCAGACACAGCUAGCAUCUGUGCCAUCUUCGUACUUUGCCUGAGUUUUGGGGAAGUACCGAGGAUGGCUUCUGCCUUUGCUGGAGAGAGUUGGAAGUCAGGGCAGCCCUCCACAAGGAGAUGAUCGCCAGCUGAUUCCUCAAGAAAGAGAGGUGGUCCCCACAUGGGCAGAGCAGGGCAGCAUGCAGAGACCUGGGUGUGGGGUCUGGGGCAUGUGCAUCUGAGUGGGGUCUGCUGGGAGACAGCAGGGGUGAGGUGUGAAGGCAGUUGGAAUUGACAGGAUAAAUUAUCACUAAGGUGAUGCUGGCAAAACAUAAAAUUGGGACUCUCUGGGGUAAACGUGGACUUAGGGUGACCCUGUGCAUGGGUGUUUUCAGGCUCUGAAGGCAGAGAUUUAAGAAAUUGGGGCAGAGCUGAGCCCCAGACGAGGAUGAAGACCACCCUUGGGAUGUUGAAUGAGACAGGGGUGGAAAUCCAGUGAAUAUCCUGGGGUCAGUCCAGCAGGAAGGCAGCAGAGGAGACCGGUGUCCUCAAAGGCCCCUUGGGCCUGCCUCUCAAAGUGCUGGGAUUACAGGCAUGAGCCACUGCUCCCUGCUGAUACUUUUAAAAUUUCUAAGCUGCUCUCUCUCAUAUCCACUCCCGUAUUUUUUUUUUUUUAGACCAGGUUUAUGGCUAUAUUUUUUCCAAGGGAAUCAAAAAGUUACCUGUUUGAAAUACAAAUAACACCGUGUUUAAAAACCGAAAAUGCUAAUUUGCGUAGAAGUUUCCAAAUACCCAGUUGGUUUGAGCCUUGCAUUGCAGUGUCACUACCUGCUCUUAAAUUUCUACAUGAUGUAUAGAUAGUGAGGCAGGGACGGCUCGUACAUCUUCAGGUUUUGAUUCUACUAACUUAGGCUAUAUUUUCAUUUAUUUUGGCACACCUGUGGGUGUGGCAAGCAAUGUCAGGGUAUUUAUUUUGAAGCUUGCCCAACAACAGUUGGGAAGAUUUUCACAUUUUUAGAAUUUUCAUAGUAAUAGUUAUAAUUUACAAAGAAUUUAAAAUUGUGUAGUCAUUAUUUUGCUUUUUUCUAGAUAUGCCCUGAAACAGGGUUGCUAACUAUCAUUCUACAUCACAGGAUUCAGAACAGGACCAUUUUGGAGCAGACGCCUGUAAUCGAGGAAUUCCGCCUAGUCAGUUGACUUUAAACUUGUUUAAAAGGUUUUCUUUAUCCUAGUUGGCACCUGUGGCUAUAGUUUGUUUUCACUGCUGAGGAAUAUUCCAUGAUGGAAACUGUAAUUCAUCUGUUUUUCAUAUCGGUGGACAUUUGGAUUAUUUGGGGAGGGUGUGUAUGUCUAUUCAGCCUUCGUUUUUUCAGGAUUUUUUGUAGAAGAUAACGUAACAGUGUAACAUCCUCUGCUACGGAGCCAACACGAACCCUGAUUACAGCCACACAGACUCACACACAGACUCUCAGGCCUUGUUACCAACGCACAGAACCAUUUUCUUAAGUUGAAGCACAGUAGCAGAACCUGAAGCCAUGUGAACGGGUCCUCUGAUCUUACACUUGGAAUUCGCUUUUUAUUACUAUGUCUGCUAAUUAGGAAGCCUAUCAAUUAUACAGAAA
Chlorocebus sabaeus (green monkey) is the source of this 3625-nucleotide non-coding RNA. Lineage: Eukaryota; Metazoa; Chordata; Mammalia; Primates; Cercopithecidae. The record is from RefSeq and is a predicted model, not a curated record.